GAAAUGCGAUAAGUAGUGUGAAUUGCAGAAUUCAGUGAAUCAUCGAAUCUUUGAACGCACAUUGCGCCCCUCGGCAUUCCGUGGGGCAUGUCUGUUCGAGCGUCAUCUACACCCUCAAGCUCUGCUUGGUGUUGGGCGUCUGUCCCGCCUCCGCGCGCGGACUCGCCCCAAAUGCAUUGGCAGCGGUUCCUUGCCCCCCUCUUUGCGCAGCACAUUGCCAUUCGAGGCGGCGGCGGCCCGCGUCCAACAAGCUCAACCCCCCCGUCUUUGACCUCGGAUCAGGUAGGGAUACCCGCUGAACUUAAGC
Molecule: unclassified non-coding RNA, 307 nt
Filed under: plant metagenome
Description: partial contains 5.8S ribosomal RNA, internal transcribed spacer 2, and large subunit ribosomal RNA
Rfam family: 5.8S ribosomal RNA (bases 1-105)
Source: RNAcentral